Triticum urartu is the source of this 4118-nucleotide long non-coding RNA. RefSeq lists it as uncharacterized. NCBI's taxonomy places the organism in Eukaryota, Viridiplantae, Streptophyta, Magnoliopsida, Poales, Poaceae. The record is from RefSeq and is a predicted model, not a curated record.
CAAAAUAAAACCAGCCAAAAAAGUUCCACUGCUCGCACGAGCGAGUGAGCAGCGAGGCACCUAGAGAGCCCUCGAGCGAGAACCCCACUGUCGUCUCCCUUAGAUGCAGCCGCCCACCGAAUCAAUCGCACUACCAGCCUCGUCUGCCUCGCCGUGCCUACGUCCCUCCCCGGACGGCGGCGACGAUGGAGGAAGCCACUGGCGCUGGCCAGGCCCCCGGUCGAUGGACGCGGCGGAUCGUCGCUCCUCAGGGCCAGCCCCUCCCGCUGCGCUGGAUCACGUGGCAGCCUAGGUUGACGAUAGGAGAUGAAGUACGUUUGAACAAACAUGUUCUUUCACUUUUCCCAACGAGGUGGAGCUUGCACAUAUGGACAUAUGGUACACUUGCACGGGUUGCUAGGGUAGGAUGAAGUUGCUGAGGAUGCACGUGUACCUGAGGAACAAGUACCACCCGACGCUGCAGAUGACGAGGUUGGGAAAGGGCGCCAACUGCGAGAACGUCUUCAGUACCAUGGUCUACCUCUCACCCAAAGGUUCCACUCAAUCGAUGCAUUAACUGAUGUACUCCAGUUCCAUUACCCGAGGAACUAAUAUGGCAUAUUUUGUUUUCUGCAACAUGGUGGGUUGGGAACUCGGGAUGAAGGAAGAAUACUCCUGAGAGCCCAAACUCGAGCUUCCAAAAGAUAUGCAUAAUUAUGCUGAAGGUUGAUACUGAGGCUGUCACUAUGAAGAAUAUUUGCCUCUCAGUUUAAAUUCCUCGGUAAAGAUUCGGUAAGAUACUUGAAUAGUGUAGAUGUUGAAUUACCUGUAUACAUGACGAUUAAAGAAUUAUGUGCUGAUACCUUCCAAUGUUGGUUGAACUACAUAUGCUUUGUUUACUGGUUUUUCUAGAUAAAAAUAAGGGAUGUUGUGUUGUUGGCAAGCUUGAUACUACAGUGAAUGCUCACCUAAUGCUUAAUGUCUUGCUUUACUACAAAGGUCUUCCAUAGAUACAGUGCCUCAGUCACUUUGAUUAGAUGAGAAAACAUUUAAUCACAGAUAUGAUGCCUCCAUGUUAAAUACUGAAGAAAUGGGGGUUGUAUAUUUUCAGAUCAACAAGGCAAGAAUAACUUUAUUGUUUCCCUGUUUUUUCUUUUUUCUCAAGCAACAUAAAAAUUGAAUGUAUUCCUUACUACUAUUGAAUUGCAGGCACAAAAUAUAUAAACUUGGUUCAGAUCUUCCUGGUUCGAUUCCACAGCGAAUGUAAAACUUAUAUUCGUAAUUUAUAUCCACUGCAGGAGGCAGGACCACAUGAACAAGCAGGUUGUUGUCCAAGCAUAGUUGCUACUGCAAGAGCCAGCAUCAGACAACAUCCGAUCUAUACAAAAUCCAUCCAUCUGUCUCGUCUCAUGCAUGCAUAACCAGGCCGAUGGUAACUUGUCUACUAUUCUACUCACUGCAGUUUACGAUAAUUUGUCUACUACUCUACUUAAGCUUGAGGGUGAAGUGGACGAUAAGUUGUAUUAUUGACCAAGUAUAUCUUGUUCAUAAGCCUAAGAUUUGCAUACACCAUAGAAGCCGUAUAUAUCUUUGAGAUAAUCAGUCCAUGGCUGAUAUUGCUAGAGCAGGAGGGCGAGGCAGUGGCAAAGGUAGUCAGUGUGUUUAGAUCUUGAACCAGUUUGGGCUUGCCCAUCUGAGUGCCGGCGAUCUUCUUUGCAAAAAAGUUAAAUCCGAGCAAGGGUAACAAUCUGCUCUCAGUGUAUUUCAACCCUCAUUUAAGCAUAUCACAUUCCACUUUCAUUUUAUUUAUUUACUUUUAAGAGCUAUGCUUUAGGGUUCGGUGUCGUAUUUGUAUCAUCUUUAUAUAACCUUUUUUGUUUAGAAACAAAAGUUGCGUGUGCAAUGUUGAAGCUUGUUACGAUAUUAUUAUUGCAGACUUGCCUUAUCACCUAUUAAAUAUGACAUGUUUUAUUGAGGGCAUUUAUAUUAUAGAUGCUCAAAAAAUGUCCGUGCUUAAUGCUGCUCAAAACGUCGUAUCAUCAUCCCUGAAAUCGGCAUUCAGUGUCUGAAGUCCAGAUUACACAGAGGCCCAAAUUUACAUGCAACAGGGUUACCAUCUACAGUACUAUCAAAGAACAUCAGCUUGGGACAUCCCAAUUCAUAUGACAUUUUGCCUUAUAUACCAUAUAGGUUGAUUUUGAUUGGAGUAACACUAUGGCAGAGAAAAAUUUACUAAGUCUCCCUAGAUAAUUUCACACUUUCUCAUACACUAAAGAGCAUACUCUCAGCAUCUCUUGUACCAUGGUGGCCGAGAGCUGGAGGUCCUUGAGCCUAAAAUCUGCAUUCCAAAGCAAAAGCUUUCUUUUAUUGGUGAUAGUUAGUUAAUGGCAUGCAAAGCAAUUCUCGUUGAUUGUAUGCAUUAAGCUGAGUCGACUAGCAGCAGUGUAUAUGACUAAAUAGAAAGGCAAUUUUUUUUGCAUGAAGAAAAAUAUUAAAGUGAUGACAAAUGUAAUGCCUCACAGGUAAAACAUAAACAGACCCUGGGUGAAUAAUAAUGAAGGUCUACAUUUAUUGGCAGGAUUAUAAUUUUCAAUACAUUAAUAUGUUGUCUUCUUAAUUGAGCUUGUACUAAAUGUUGUCAGUACGGGCUGGCAUUCAACUUUGCGUACUGUGUCAAAGAGUUUCAAGACUUGGACCUUCCCACAUCAUGCUAAAGCUGGUAACUAUUUGUGCUACUAAACAUAGCAUUCCCAGUUCCACUACAUCCUCUCCCCAAUGUCUUUUUUCAUCCAUCUAAGAAAGAAAAAGAAUCACUUUUCAUCCAUGUAAGAAGAGUGAGUUAGUGGUAACAAAAAGUCAACAAGGCCCCCUACUGUACAUGAGGAUCAUAAUGUUAUACUACCUCCAUUCCUUUAUGUAAGGUAUAUUAUUUUUGGCAUGGUUACCAAAGCACAUGAUUCCGUGUUUUCUAUGAGAGAUCUAAAAUAGUAGGUUAAAAGCAUACUGCAAAUUUAUUAGAAGCAAAAUAUCUAGAAGGAUUACAUAUAUGUAAUUUACAUGGGGUUAUCUAAUGUUAGAGAGCCAUACCUCAAAUUAUUUGUUUAUUUGUUCUAGCUCUAUGGAUAACAAGAGCAUUAGUUCUUUAAAAGUGUUGCAUUUGUGUGGGCUAGACACCACUCCAUUGAAAAGAAAAUGUGUCAACAUGUUAAAUUACAACAGUUGUGAUAUCCAUAAGAAAUAGGCACUCACCAUGUUGCCUUGAGAGCUCAUAUGUUUUUAUGAGGAGAGAAAGGCCAAAGUUUGUGUGCAAUAGUCGGCGGAGUGGUUACAUGCUGAGAGGAGAACCUAUUGUAAAUAAUAUCAUGUUCUAGCAUCGUUUGAGCGACAAGUAAUUCCGGACGGAUGUAGUAUCACUUAAUUACAAGUGACAUUUAUGAUCACCAUUGGUCUUACUGUAUGAUUGUUUUCAUGACUUUCAAAAAAGAAAUAUCCUAAAAGUUGAGUGCAGCUGGACGGACGUCAAUCCAUUUGAGCCAAGAAAAGUAGAUGCGGACUGUCCUAAAUCAUUUGAGAUAUGAAUAGUAGAUGGGAAAGGGUUGAAAUAUUUUAUGCAACAAUGGUUACUAAAUGGUAGGAAUCAUGUGUUUUUUGCAGUAGUUCCUAAAUGGUAACCUCCAAGUGCCUAAUUUCAUAUGUAAUAAUUUUCCAGGCAAGUUCAUAAUGCAAUCAAGUUUCUGGUUGUAGUAUCUUCGAACAUUUGUUUUGAGGGAACAAAAUCCUCCCAUGUGUGGUAUUCAAUUAUUGAACAAUAACAAUGGACAUGCUUUGUGAGACUAUUGGUCUUAAGCAUAAAAAGACAUGCAAGUGAUAUCCAUCAAUUAAAGUAUAGUGCACGACAAAUAGUUGUACUCUCUCCGUUCAGAAAUACUUCUCGGAGAAUGGAUAAUCCAUUUCUCAGACAAGUACUUGCAGGUGGAGGGUGUAUGUUUUUGUACCACUUUUCUACUUUGUGGAUCAGAUCUCAUAGUACAAGUCGGCUAAUUACAUUUUUAUCGAAAUUAUUGCAAGUGGAGUGGAUUUCAACUAUUUUUCAUUUGUUACUGUCUAUCUUUUCUAUACAUGUCAAAUUUCACAUGCAU